Molecule: long non-coding RNA, 1656 nt
Organism: Capsicum annuum
Lineage: Eukaryota; Viridiplantae; Streptophyta; Magnoliopsida; Solanales; Solanaceae
Exons: 6
Source: RefSeq, a predicted model, not a curated record
GAUUUUUGUUAAUAAGAUGUAGUUGGUUUCUUCUUAGGUUUUAUUAAAUUCUUGAAAUUGAUCUUAAAGAUUGAGUCUUUCUUGUGUAAUCCAAAAGAAAUUUCUGGAUGUUUUCUUUCCAUACUUGAGAAGUUGAGCUUAAAGAUUUAGUCUUUCAUGUUUAAACCAAAAGAAAUUUCAUGGGUUUUUCCAUUCUUGAAUAUUGAGCUUAAAGAUUUAAUCUUUCUUGUUAACCAAAAGAAAUUUCUGGGUGUUUUUCUAUUCUUGAUUAUUGAGCUUAAAUCUUUAUUGUAAACCAAAAAGGAAUUUCUAGGUGUUUACAUAUUCUUAAAGUUGAGUUUGAAGAUUGGAUCUUUCUUGUAAACCAAAAAAGAAUUUGUGGGUUUUUUCCAUUCUUGAAGUUGAGCUUAAAUAUUUGUGGGUGUUUGUUUCAUUCCUUUAUUUUGGUUUAAGAAAGUUCACAGGUUUCAAUAUUAUAGGAUGCGUACAAGAAAUGGAAUAGAAAAGAAGAAGUGUUGUCACCUAUCCAAGAUACUAUAACGCAUAUUGUGUCCCCAUAUUUUUUAGGUUCAAUAAUUUGUGUUUAAUUCUGCAGUGGUACGCACUGAAAAACUUCUCAAGAAUGACAUUUAGCAUGAGAAGCAUCGCAAUGAUGAUAACUCAAUUAUCUACUGAAGUAUUGUAAGGCCUAUUCUGGACUCUUUUGAAUCAUCUAAGCAAAUGUCAGCAUUCUCUCUAAGCAACGGGCAGGAAUCAAACUAGGUCCACCGACCUCAGCCAACCAAGCUAAGGCUCGAGGCAGCUCAUCUACAUCCAGCUAGCCAGCCAAGCCAAGCCUUGGGGGCCUGGGCAAGCUGGAGCUAAAGUAGGCUCAUUUGCAUCCAAUACAGAUUGAUAUAUUUGUGAAGUAUUUUCCUGGGGCGACACAUGCCUGGUCCAUGAGGUACAAUGAUGAUGAUAAAUUGGCUAUAAAAUCUGUUGAAGAGUCUCAUCAAUACAUGUUUGGAUGGCUUGAAAAACAUCUCAGUUGACAAUGAAAUGAUUGAAUACUUGAGAAAUCAAUAUCGUUCGCAUCUUUCUAUCUCAUCAUACUCUGCUCUAGUGACGUUCGGCGCAUUAACAAAUAUCACAUGUUGAUCAAUACCGUUCUCGGCCAGGAAAAGAUACAGGUCGCGUGCAUGUCUUAUCAGAACGUGGUUUUAGAAUUGCGGAGCAGGGACAGGAAUCAAACUAGGUCCACCGACCUUAGCCAACCAAGCUAAGGCUCGAGGCAGCUCAUCCACAUCCAGCUAGCCAACCAAGCCAAGCCUUGGGGGCCUGGGCAAGCUGGAGCUAAAGUAGGUUCAUUUGCAUCCAAUCCAGAUUGAUAUUUUUGUGAAGAUUUUUCCUAGGGAGACGCAUGACUGGUCCGUGAGGUAUAACGAUGAUGAUAAAUUUGCUGUAAAAUUUGCUGAAGAGUCUCAUCAAGACAUGUUCGGAUGGCUUGAAAAACAUCUCAAGUAAAAUUUACUUACUGUGAUGACAUGUUUCCUUUACAUAUGUUUGAUAAUAAAGGUUAGGAGUGUUUUCUUUCCAACAAAUGAUUCCUUCUGCAUCUUAUAGGAAUUUAACUUUGUUUCUUUCAGUUGUCAAUGAAAUGAUUGAAUACUUGAGAAA